Molecule: long non-coding RNA, 1338 nt
Organism: Dermacentor silvarum
Lineage: Eukaryota; Metazoa; Arthropoda; Arachnida; Ixodida; Ixodidae
Exons: 3
Source: RefSeq, a predicted model, not a curated record
CCCGUAUUCUUAAACGCGCCUUCACUCAGCGCUUCUCCUCGACUCAGCCAAGUCGAGGCGACGAGCGUUCCUUCACUCAAGGCGCCAUUGCGUUUCAUGAACACUACUUCACUUUUCCUCCGCCAAGGAACGCCUUGAAAAUGCGCCCUUCACUCGAGUGAAGUGCACCGACCGAGAAAAGCGUCUGAUAUCGAGGCUAUUCUUAAAUGCGCUUAGCAAAAGCCCAAUUAUUUAAUACAGAUAUGUGUUUCCGUUAAUUUGGCUUCGUUAUAAAAUGACAACACGGCGCAAUGCACAAAUUUAGCUCGGCAGCGCUGCCACUGUUAGCGUUAGACUGAUAGAUCAAGCGGGAGCUGUGUUUGAGGUCUGGCAACGAUCGCUCCCCAGCAGCUGAGCACAGCGCAUGGCUGAGAAACAAGAAAAUUUGCGCCCGCAUUUGUCUGCCGCUCAUUCUUUCCUUGUGCUUAAUUUGUGGUUCACGUUGCAGUUGUUAAUCGUAGUUAUCAUGGAUGAUAUUGUCCGUGUGUGUACUGUGACCGAGCCGGAUUGACUUCGAAGGAGGCAACGCAUGGAACGGCCGAUGGGCAGCUUUGUUUACCUUCAAGACCAAGUGCUGCUGAAAGCUUUCUGAAAGCAUCAACAGGACAAAAAGUAAGGGAUGUGGGCCUUGGAAGGACCAGCUGAUGGAAAAAAAUCAACGUCCGUGUUGCACGCAACGCCAUUGUGACUGUCUGCAUCUCCAUUUGGCCUGUUGUGGGAUCCCACAAGACACGCUUUGUUCCUGGGUCAAUUACUGAACUUCUGCAAGCCCCAUGGAAGCCAACUGUCAUCCGCAUCGAAUGGAACAAAUUCAUGGUUCCGGCCUUCAUAAUUCAUCUUGAGCUGAAGUUAGAACUGGAGCUCAAACAGCGUAAAUUCUGUAAGGAUUUACCACUGCAUACCGUCCGGUGGCCACACACGACGGUAUGCUACUGUCUAGAACACUGCUAGUCUACUGUCCAGAACACGGAUGGUGUUUUAUUCUAGAAUAGCUUUGUCAGUAGUACUACUGAUUGUGUUUGUAGGAUCACAGUCCACGCUCUUUUUGCAAUCCUAUCAGAACACAAAAAGACGAGGAUAAUUUUAAUUUAUUGUUUCAGAGAUUGACACUUCGAUUGACCAGAAAUAAUUCAGUGAUACAGACGGCUUUAUUAAAUAUGGGUUAAGAAAAGAAACCUGGAUGAAAAAUACAGACUUAAGCAGCAAGGUGCCUAUGAAGGCAGAUGUAUACAAAAUGCCUUUAGUAGUGAUGUUUGAGCUGUUAGGAUGUCAGAAAAGACAUUGAGGUUUUAGCCAAAA